This 373-nucleotide ribosomal RNA is filed under the name uncultured organism. RNAcentral describes it as "partial 16S ribosomal RNA". It matches the Rfam family "Bacterial small subunit ribosomal RNA", at positions 527 to 896 of the family's 1533-position model. The record is from RNAcentral.
GUAGGUGGCAAGCGUUGUCCGGAAUUAUUGGGCGUAAAGCGCGCGCAGGCGGUCCUUUAAGUCUGAUGUGAAAGCCCACGGCUCAACCGUGGAGGGUCAUUGGAAACUGGGGGACUUGAGUACAGAAGAGGAAAGCGGAAUUCCAAGUGUAGCGGUGAAAUGCGUAGAGAUUUGGAGGAACACCAGUGGCGAAGGCGGCUUUCUGGUCUGUAACUGACGCUGAGGCGCGAAAGCGUGGGGAGCAAACAGGAUUAGAUACCCUGGUAGUCCACGCCGUAAACGAUGAGUGCUAAGUGUUAGGGGUUUCCCGCCCCCCUUAGUGCUGCAGCUAACGCAUUAAGCACUCCGCCUGGGGAGUACGGCCGCAAGGCUG